Molecule: ribosomal RNA, 741 nt
Filed under: Brumptaemilius sp. CCN-2023
Lineage: Eukaryota; Metazoa; Nematoda; Chromadorea; Rhabditida; Carnoyidae
Description: partial large subunit ribosomal RNA
Rfam family: Eukaryotic large subunit ribosomal RNA
Source: RNAcentral
CAAGAGGGCGUGAAACCGCUGAGAAGGAAACGGAUAGAGUUGACGAAACUGGACGGCUUUCAGCUACUCCUCACAGCGGUCCUGCGUCUGCGAGCUUCGAUAAGAGGGCGCAGCUGUGGGUAACUGCCGGGUGCGAGUGGUGCAUUUGUCGUCGGUAUGCGCCGAGAGUUCGGGCACCGUACGCUGAAACGCAUGUAGAGGACCAUGCCCUCCGGGUGUGGAAACCUGCGUGCGCAAAGGCGCAUCGGUGGUCGAGCAGGCUCAAGCUUCUCCGCUAUGGUGCGGCGGCUGUCUGUUGGUUAGCACGGGCGUUGGGCGGUCGCAUGCGACUUGCCUAUGCUUGGCGUUGGCCUGGGGCAGUGUGUUGCGCAGAGAGGCAAAUCUCGGUGUAAAAGUUGACCACCUAUCCGACCCGUCUUGAAACACGGACCAAGGAGUCUAGCAUAUGCGCGAGUCAUUGGGUGGCAAACCUAAAGGCGAAAUGAAAGUGAAGGUAGCCUUGAUGCUGCUGAUAUGGGAUCCGUGUGGCUUCGGCCGUGCGGCGCACCAUAGCCCCGUCCUCGUCGCUUGCGAUAGGGCGGAGGAAGAGCGCAUACGCUGGGACCCGAAAGAUGGUGAACUAUGCCUGAGCAGGAUGAAGCCAGAGGAAACUCUGGUGGAGGUCCGAAGCGGUUCUGACGUGCAAAUCGAUCGUCUGACUUGGGUAUAGGGGCGAAAGACUAAUCGAACCAUCUAGUAGCU